AAACUGAGUGCCAGAAGCAGGAUACAGUUUUCUGAAAGCUGUUUUCUAUUUCAACAGCACACUGGCCAGACAAGAUUUUUAAGAUCUUGUUUUAUACCUAAGGUUUGGGGAAGUGAUCCACUACAGGCUCUCAUGAUCUUCUGUAAGGAAGAGCUUUGGCAAGACUGAACACAUUCACUGAUCUAUAGCAGAAGAGUAUCAGAUUGGAUUGGAUGUGGUGUGGUCUCAGAUAUGGUCCAGGAAUGGAGCCCUGUGAGAAGACUUCUGAGCCCUUGUGAGAAUAUUCUCAAAAAAUCCAGACAAGAUCCUUGUGACCAUAGUUUCCUCAAAAUACCAAGUUGUCCAUGGAAUGUGUUUUCCUUCUUCCCUGGUGCUUUGAAAAGGAUACACUGGAAACAACAAUAUGGCAGUAACCGAAACAGCUCCAGGAACUGUAUCAGGAGCAAGAAUAUUGUAAUUGCAAGGUGAACAAACCUUUGUGGUACCAGUGGAAAAUAUACAAAAUAAUUGUAUUAGAUGUAUGUUUGUAGAAGGUAGAAAACUUGGUGUUCAGCUAGAUCUACUUGAGU
Long non-coding RNA from Mus caroli (Ryukyu mouse), 569 nucleotides. RefSeq lists it as uncharacterized. NCBI's taxonomy places the organism in Eukaryota, Metazoa, Chordata, Mammalia, Rodentia, Muridae. The record is from RefSeq and is a predicted model, not a curated record.